This 253-nucleotide ribosomal RNA is filed under the name uncultured bacterium. RNAcentral's name for it is "partial 16S ribosomal RNA". It matches the Rfam family "Bacterial small subunit ribosomal RNA", at positions 524 to 776 of the family's 1533-position model. The record is from RNAcentral.
GACAGAGGGGGCAAGCGUUGCUCGGAAUCACUGGGCGUAAAGGGCGCGUAGGCGGGAUGGCAAGUCGAUCGUGAAAUCCUUCGGCUCAACCGAAGAACGUCGGCCGAUACUGCCGUUCUUGAGGGAUGCAGAGGAGAUUGGAAUUCCCGGUGUAGCGGUGAAAUGUGUAGAGAUCGGGAGGAACACCGGUGGCGAAGGCGGGUCUCUGGGCAUCUCCUGACGCUGAGGCGCGAAAGCGUGGGGAGCAAACGGG